GUCUUUUUGUAAAUAAUAUAAAGUCUUAUCUGCCCCCUGAUUUUUUUAAAGGGCUGCAGUAAAUUGACUGUACAAAGGUAGCAUAAUAAUUAGUCUUUUAAUUGAAGACUUGUAUGAAAGAUUUAAUGAGAUAUAAACUGUCUCUUUUUUAUAAUUAAAAUUUAAUUUUUUAGUAAAAAAGCUAAAAUUUAUUUAAAAGACGAGAAGACCCUAUAGAGUUUAAUAUUUAAAUUAAUUAUAAUUUUUUAUUAAUUUUUAAUAAAAAUUAAAAUAAAUAUUUUAUUGGGGUGAUAAAAAAAUAUAUAAAACUUUUUUUAUAAUUUUUAUUUAUAUAUGUAUAUAUAUAUAUAUAUAUAUAAAUAAGUAUUUAACAUUAAUAAAUGAAUAAAUGAUCCAUAAUUUAUGAUUAUAAGAAAAAAUUACCUUAGGGAUAACAGCGUAAUUUUUUUUUUUAGUUCAUAUAAAAAAAAAAGUUUGCGACCUCGAUGUGGGAUUAAAAAAAAAUUUAAAUGGAAAAUUUUAAAUUUUUUGAUCUGUUCAAUCAUUAAAAUCUUACA
This 557-nucleotide ribosomal RNA is filed under the name Praethoressa varia. RNAcentral describes it as "partial 16S ribosomal RNA". The record is from RNAcentral. Lineage: Eukaryota; Metazoa; Arthropoda; Insecta; Lepidoptera; Hesperiidae.